AUGAAGACAUUAGCAGCCUUCAAGGAAGGGAAAAUAGAUGUUCUAAUUGGCUCAGAUAUAAUGGCUCGAGGAAUACAUAUUGAUGGUUUAAAAUGUUAUCAACUACGAGAUGCUGCAGUAUGUGAAAACAUACAUCCACCAAGCAGGCCGGACAGCCAGGGCAGGCGAAUCUGGUUCUUGCUUCAUGUUUUUGAGGAAAAAUGA
Molecule: ribosomal RNA, 204 nt
Filed under: Triticum aestivum (bread wheat)
Lineage: Eukaryota; Viridiplantae; Streptophyta; Magnoliopsida; Poales; Poaceae
Description: partial small subunit ribosomal RNA
Source: RNAcentral